UACGGAGGGUGCAAGCGUUAUCCGGAUUCACUGGGUUUAAAGGGUGCGUAGGUGGGCAGGUAAGUCAGUGGUGAAAUCUCCGGGCUUAACCCGGAAACUGCCAUUGAUACUAUCUGUCUUGAAUACCGUGGAGGUGAGCGGAAUAUGUCAUGUAGCGGUGAAAUGCUUAGAUAUGACAUAGAAUACCGAUAGCGAAGGCAGCUUACUACAUGUUAAUUGACGCUGAGGCACGAAAGCGUGGGGAGCAAACAGG
RNAcentral lists this ribosomal RNA (253 nucleotides) under uncultured bacterium. RNAcentral describes it as "partial 16S ribosomal RNA". It matches the Rfam family "Bacterial small subunit ribosomal RNA", at positions 524 to 776 of the family's 1533-position model. The record is from RNAcentral.